GCCCACAUAGCUCAGUGGUAGAGCACUUCCUUGGUAAGGAAGAGGUCGCUGGUUCAAUCCCUGCUGUGGGCUCCA
Molecule: transfer RNA, 75 nt
Filed under: Acidobacteriota bacterium
Lineage: Bacteria; Pseudomonadati; Acidobacteriota
Also listed under: 1 other name
Description: Acidobacteria bacterium (freshwater metagenome) tRNA-Thr
Rfam family: tRNA
About the family: Transfer RNA (tRNA) molecules are approximately 80 nucleotides in length.
Source: RNAcentral